RNAcentral lists this ribosomal RNA (468 nucleotides) under uncultured bacterium. RNAcentral describes it as "partial 16S ribosomal RNA". It matches the Rfam family "Bacterial small subunit ribosomal RNA", at positions 28 to 507 of the family's 1533-position model. The record is from RNAcentral.
GACGAACGCUGGCGGCGUGCUUAACACAUGCAAGUCGAACGGAAAGGCCCUGCUUUUGCGGGGUGCUUGUGUGGCGAACGGGUGAGUAAAACGUGAGUAAACUGUCCUUGACUUUGGGAUAAAUUUAGGAAACUCGGGCUCAUAUAGGAUAGGAGAUUUUGCUGCAUGGUGGGGGUUGGAAAGAUUCGGUGGUUGGGGCUGGAAUCGCGGCUUAUCCGCUUGAUAGGGGGGUAGUGGCUUACCAAGGGUUUGACGGGUAGCCGGCCUGAGAGGGGGGACGGCGACAUGGGGACUGAGGGACGGACCAGUCGCCUACGUGAGGCAACGGGGGAGAAUAUGGCGCAAUGGGGGGAAGCGAGAGACGGCGAUGCCGGGUGCGGAAUGACGGCCUUCGAGUGAUAAACCGCUGUCGCCGGAGACGAAGCGAGAGUGACGGUAAUGGGUAAGAAAGCACCGGCUAACUACGUG